CAUACCAACCUGAAUGCACCCAAUCUUGUCUAAUCUUGGAAGCUAAACAGGUUUGGGCCUUGCUGGUACUUAGAUGGGAGAGACUAUGUUUUAGGGGAUUGCUUGCCAGUUGUGUGGGAAGGUC
This 124-nucleotide ribosomal RNA is filed under the name Jaculus jaculus (lesser Egyptian jerboa). The record is from RNAcentral. Lineage: Eukaryota; Metazoa; Chordata; Mammalia; Rodentia; Dipodidae.